This 468-nucleotide ribosomal RNA is filed under the name uncultured bacterium. Its description in RNAcentral is "partial 16S ribosomal RNA". It matches the Rfam family "Bacterial small subunit ribosomal RNA", at positions 28 to 507 of the family's 1533-position model. The record is from RNAcentral.
GACGAACGCUGGCGGCGUGCUUAACACAUGCAAGUCGAACGGAAAGGCCCUGCUUUUGUGGGGUGCUCGAGUGGCGAACGGGUGAGUAACACGUGAGUAACCUGCCCUUGACUUUGGGAUAACUUCAGGAAACUGGGGCUAAUACCGGAUAGGAGCUCCUGCUGCAUGGUGGGGGUUGGAAAGUUUCGGCGGUUGGGGAUGGACUCGCGGCUUAUCAGCUUGUUGGUGGGGUAGUGGCUUACCCAGGCUUUGACGGGUAGCCGGCCUGAGAGGGUGACCGGCCACAUUGGGACUGAGAUACGGCCCAGACUCCUACGGGGGGCAGCAGUGGGGAAUAUUGCACAAUGGGCGGAAGCCUGAUGCAGCAACGCCGCGUGCGGGAUGACGGCCUUCGGGUUGUAAACCGCUUUCGCCUGUGACGAAGCGUGAGUGACGGUAAUGAGUAAGGAAGCACCGGCUAACUACGUG